Molecule: ribosomal RNA, 468 nt
Filed under: uncultured bacterium
Lineage: Bacteria
Description: partial 16S ribosomal RNA
Rfam family: Bacterial small subunit ribosomal RNA
Source: RNAcentral
GACGAACGCUGGCGGCGUGCUUAACACAUGCAAGUCGAACGGAAAGGCCCUGCUUUUGUGGGGUGCUCGAGUGGCGAACGGGUGAGUAACACGUGAGUAACCUGCCCUUGACUUUGGGAUAACUUCAGGAAACUGGGGCUAAUACCGGAUAGGAGCUCCUGCUGCAUGGUGGGGGUUGGAAAGUUUCGGCGGUUGGGGAUGGACUCGCGGCUUAUCAGCUUGUUGGUGGGGUAGUGGCUUACCAAGGCUUUGACGGGUAGCCGGCCUGAGAGGGUGACCGGCCACAUUUGGACUGAGAUACGGCCCAGACUCCUACGGGAGGCAGCAGUGGGAAAUAUUGCACAAUGGGCGGAAGCCUGAUGCAGCAACGCCGCGUGCGGGAUGACGGCCUUCGGGUUGUAAACCGCUUUCGCCUGUGACGAAGCGUGAGUAAGGGUAAUGGGUAAAGGAGCACCGGCUAACUACGUG